RNAcentral lists this ribosomal RNA (254 nucleotides) under uncultured bacterium. RNAcentral's name for it is "partial 16S ribosomal RNA". It matches the Rfam family "Bacterial small subunit ribosomal RNA", at positions 524 to 776 of the family's 1533-position model. The record is from RNAcentral.
UACGGGGGGAGCAAGCGUUGUUCGGAUUUACUGGGCGUAAAGGGCGCGUAGGCGGCCAGCACAAGUCAGUUGUGAAAUCUCCGAGCUUAACUCGGAAAGGUCAACUGAUACUGUGCGGCUAGAGUGCGGAAGGGGCAACUGGAAUUCUUGGUGUAGCGGUGAAAUGCGUAGAUAUUGGGAGGAACACCAGUGGCGAAAGCGACUUUCUGGGCCAUUCCUGACACUGAGGCUCGAAAGCUCGGGGAGCAAACAGG